AGCUAACAAAAACAUGUAUUAGCUAUCAGUUACGUUUAACAACUAAACUAAACAGGUCCUUAGUCUUGUUCAAGACUGUCCUGGUCAAAUUUGGGUCUGAUUAGUUCCACUCUGUACCCUAACCAAACCCAUAGACAUGGGAAUAUAGAUGAUCAGUAGCCAAAUUCGUGGAUGUGCUUUAUUGGCAGGUUUGAAUAGAUAUGUUUCAGAAUCAUGGAAUUUUUUUGUAUGCCACCCCCCAUCUUUUGUCAACUGCUUACUGCACGUUAAAUUGCCUAACAUCAUGAUAUGCCAAUUUGUCAUUUCUUUGCUGUAGCAGUUUAGUUGACAUUUGUUUCCCUCGAAGUAUUGAUUUGAAUUAUACUAGCAAAGCAUUUUAUGUAAACAUGUCUGCCUUUCUGGUUGUGUUAGUUGUGUUAGUCCAAAUUGCACGAGAUGCUUUUAAUGCCAGCUUAUCUUGGAUGUAUAAAUUUAUCAUUAAACCCGUUGAUUUACUAAAUACAGCUUUUGCAGUUGUGAUCCUUUCUGUAUGUAUGUCGUUGUUGCCUUGAUUCCUCCUCCAUUUGUUAACUUUUAUUUGUCAUAGAGGGUAGGAUGUUCUCCUUGGAGCGGGGCAAUUGGCAAGAUGUCUGUAACUAAUUAUUCUAGGCAGAUGCCAAAGGCCUUAGCUAAGAUUGUGUAAACCUAGUCUAAACUCAACCCAAUUUAUUAUUGGUCUAAUGUGAUAACACUAUAGCCAUUUUGUGAAUGGCUCUUGGAGAAUAAGUUUUGAUUAAAGUAUACUGUUAUCAAUAAAAUUAUAUUGGGAGGGAGAGGUUGAUAAUUUUAAGUUCAACUUUGAAAAUGGUAAAAAGGCAUGUGUCACGUUUCCCAAAAUAUUACGCAUUUCUCACUCUUCAACACCAUUGUUAAAAGAGUAAUCCGAAGCCAAAAAAAAAAAAAAA
Molecule: unclassified non-coding RNA, 944 nt
Filed under: Hevea brasiliensis (rubber tree)
Lineage: Eukaryota; Viridiplantae; Streptophyta; Magnoliopsida; Malpighiales; Euphorbiaceae
Source: RNAcentral